Molecule: ribosomal RNA, 433 nt
Filed under: uncultured bacterium
Lineage: Bacteria
Description: partial 16S ribosomal RNA
Rfam family: Bacterial small subunit ribosomal RNA
Source: RNAcentral
AACGAACGCUGGCGGCAGGCCUAACACAUGCAAGUCGAGCGGACCUUUCGGGGUCAGCGGCGGACGGGUGAGUAACGCGUGGGAAUAUGCCCUUCUCUACGGAAUAGUCCUGGGAAACUGGGGGUAAUACCGUAUACGCCCUUUGGGGGAAAGAUUUAUCGGGGAAGGAUUAGCCCGCGUUGGAUUAGGUAGUUGGUGGGGUAAUGGCCUACCAAGCCGACGAUCCAUAGCUGGUUUGAGAGGAUGAUCAGCCACACUGGGACUGAGACACGGCCCAGACUCCUACGGGAGGCAGCAGUGGGGAAUCUUAGACAAUGGGGGCGACCCUGAUCUAGCCAUGCCGCGUGAGUGAUGAAGGCCUUAGGGUUGUAAAGCUCUUUCAGCUGGGAAGAUAAUGACGGUACCAGCAGAAGAAGCCCCGGCUAACUCCGUG